Molecule: ribosomal RNA, 301 nt
Filed under: uncultured bacterium
Lineage: Bacteria
Description: partial 16S ribosomal RNA
Rfam family: Bacterial small subunit ribosomal RNA
Source: RNAcentral
CAGUAGCCGCGGGAAUACGAAGGGUGCAAGCGUUAAUCGGAAUUACUGGGCGUAAAGCGCGCGUAGGUGGUUUGUUAAGUUGGAUGUGAAAUCCCCGGGCUCAACCUGGGAACUGCAUCCAAAACUGGCAAGCUAGAGUAUGGUAGAGGGUGGUGGAAUUUCCUGUGUAGCGGUGAAAUGCGUAGAUAUAGGAAGGAACACCAGUGGCGAAGGCGACCACCUGGACUGAUACUGACACUGAGGUGCGAAAGCGUGGGGAGCAAACAGGAUUAGAUACCCCCGUAGUCCCUGUCUCUUAUAC